CUUUGGUCUUAUUUUGUUGGUUUCUAGGACCGAAGUAAUGAUUAACAGGGACAGUUGGGGGCAUUCGUAUUUAAUUGUCAGAGGUGAAAUUCUUGGAUUUAUGAAAGACGAACUUCUGCGAAAGCAUUUGCCAAGGAUGUUUUCAUUAAUCAAGAACGAAAGUUAGGGGAUCGAAGACGAUUAGAUACCGUCGUAGUCCUAACCAUAAACUAUGCCGACUUGGGAUGAGAGGAGGAUUCUAUACUCCUUUCGCACCAUAUGAGAAAUCAAAGUUUUUGGGUUCUGGGGAAAGUACCAACGCAAGUUGGAAACUUAAAGGAAUUGACGGAAGGGCACACCAGGCGUGGAAUCUGCGGCUUAAUUUGACUCAACACGGGGAAACUCACCAGGUCCAGA
Molecule: ribosomal RNA, 396 nt
Filed under: uncultured fungus
Lineage: Eukaryota; Fungi
Description: SSU rRNA
Rfam family: Eukaryotic small subunit ribosomal RNA
Source: RNAcentral